Molecule: ribosomal RNA, 497 nt
Filed under: uncultured bacterium
Lineage: Bacteria
Description: partial 16S ribosomal RNA
Rfam family: Bacterial small subunit ribosomal RNA
Source: RNAcentral
GAUGAACGCUGGCGGCGUGCCUAAUACAUGCAAGUCGAGCGAACAGACGAGGAGCUUGCUCCUCUGACGUUAGCGGCGGACGGGUGAGUAACACGUGGAUAACCUACCUAUAAGACUGGGAUAACUUCGGGAAACCGGAGCUAAUACCGGAUAAUAUAUUGAACCGCAUGGUUCAAUAGUGAAAGACGGUUUUGCUGUCACUUAUAGAUGGAUCCGCGCCGCAUUAGCUAGUUGGUAAGGUAACGGCUUACCAAGGCUACGAUGCGUAUCCGACCUGAGAGGGUGAUCGGCCACACUGGAACUGAGACACGGUCCAGACUCCUACGGGAGGCAGCAGUAGGGAAUCUUCCGCAAUGGGCGAAAGCCUGACGGAGCAACGCCGCGUGAGUGAUGAAGGUCUUCGGAUCGUAAAACUCUGUUAUUAGGGAAGAACAAAUGUGUAAGUAACUAUGCACGUCUUGACGGUACCUAAUCAGAAAGCCACGGCUAACUACGUG